Molecule: ribosomal RNA, 492 nt
Filed under: uncultured bacterium
Lineage: Bacteria
Description: partial 16S ribosomal RNA
Rfam family: Bacterial small subunit ribosomal RNA
Source: RNAcentral
GAUGAACGCUAGCUACAGGCUUAACACAUGCAAGUCGAGGGGAAACGGCAUCGAAAGCUUGCUUUUGAUGGGCGUCGACCGGCGCACGGGUGAGUAACGCGUAUCCAACCUGCCCAUCACUUGGGAAUAACCUUGCGAAAGUAAGACUAAUGCCCAAUGACAUCCCACGAAGGCAUCCGAAUGGGAUUAAAGAUUUAUCGGCGAUGGAUGGGGAUGCGUCUGAUUAGCUUGUUGGCGGGGUGACGGCCCACCAAGGCAACGAUCAGUAGGGGUUCUGAGAGUAAGGUCCCCCAAAAUGGAACUGAGACACGGUCCAAACUCCUACGGGAGGAAGCAGUGAGGAAUAUUAGUCAAUGGGCGAGAGCCUGAACCAGCCAAGUAGCGUGCAGGAGGACGGCCCUAUGGGUUGUAAACUGCUUUUAUAAGGGAAUAAAGUGGGUCACGUGUGACUUUUUGCAUGUACCUUAUGAAUAAGGACCGGCUAAUUCCGUG